AGAGAAAAAGAGAAAAAGAGAAAAAGAGAAAAGAGAUCCAUCCUAGUGAGGGCACACACAUUUAUGAAUCACCCUGCCUGUGAAACACUGGGAUGACAGUUGAUAGCUGGGUCAGGAUUGGAAACAAGGUUGGACAGCUGAGUGAGUGUGCAUACUUCUCGGCCAUCUUUCCGUGAUGUUAACAAAACGUUUCAUUUUUUUUAUUUUUCUAUUCCAAAGUGAAUGCACAACAAUGAGGGGCCAACGCAGGUGAGUGGCCCCUAAAAAUUGUUCAUGUCGAUCGAUAUCCAGUAUUCAGUGACAGUGCAAGUAUUGUAGAGCACUCGCCAAGUGCCUUAAGCACUCAAACAAAACAGUUAAUCAGGAACGGCUGGCUUGGAAAGCAAUUGGCAAUCACCGAACCAUCAGUUAAACAAACAUCCCGGAGGUGCCUGAAAUAUAAAACCAAGUCCGAAUUAGACAAAUGAACACCUUUUAUUUUUAGCACUCAGAACUGUUGCAGAGUUCAAAUGUGGAGCUUAAAUAUUGUAAUUUGGCUUCGUUUUAGAGAUUCUCGACGUUAUGGCCUUGAAUCUAUCAAAAAUUCCAGCAAUCUCUGGGUGUCUGUCUGUCUGUCUGUGACCGCCGGUCCGAUCUCAUUGAAACUUGCCAGGAAUAUUGCCAGGGACCCGCGGAUGUGCCUUCGAGGUUUGAUAUCGAUUGGACGAGCGGUUCCCAAGUUACAGCCAUUUAUCUGUCGACCACAGGCCUGGCUUACGACGCCAUGUUCGGGGUGUUGGACGAACGCCAGAGAAAGCAGCCAUUUGCCGGAACAACCGAGCGGAAACAUGAAGCUCUCGCAAAACGUUCCCGGGCAAUUAUCACCUCUUUGUUUAGCCCGAUACGAAGAAGAGCCGGUUAGCGUCCGUAGAGCUGCUGAACGAGAUGUCGAUCGCCGAUGGAAAAAGGUCACGAUGGUAGCUGACCGUAGACGAAAACAAGAGGCAACGAGCACCACCAUCUGCAUCAUCAUCGACGUCGACAGAGUUUUCCGACUGAAAAUGAGCUCCAACCGACCGACCGAUCAUCCAUCCAUGUAUUUUUGUUAUCCUUUGCGAAAAGUAGGCGAGCUAUCGGCGGCACCAUGGUAA
This 1130-nucleotide long non-coding RNA is filed under the name Eptatretus burgeri (inshore hagfish). RNAcentral's name for it is "lncRNA (ENSEBUG00000017377.1)". Lineage: Eukaryota; Metazoa; Chordata; Myxini; Myxiniformes; Myxinidae. The record is from RNAcentral.